RNAcentral lists this ribosomal RNA (524 nucleotides) under uncultured bacterium. RNAcentral's name for it is "bacterial SSU rRNA". It matches the Rfam family "Bacterial small subunit ribosomal RNA", at positions 1 to 507 of the family's 1533-position model. The record is from RNAcentral.
ACAAAAAGUACUAUCAAUUAAAUAAAAUGGUGAAACAAAAGAAUAGCGAAGAAGAAGCAAAUGCGCUUCACGCUAAUUCCAAGUACCAACACAAAACAAAUUCAAUGUUUGGUGAAGCAACUUGCUUAGUGGCGGACGGGUGAGUAACGCGUGAACAAUCUGCCCCGUACAAAGGGAUAGCCUCGGGAAACCGGGAUUAAAACCAUAUAACACUUAACUGCCGCAUGGUAGUGAAGUCAAAUCGAGUAAGAGGUAUGGGAUGAGUUCGCGUCUGAUUAGCUAGUUGGUGAGGUAAGGGCUCACCAAGGCGACGAUCAGUAGCCGGCCUGAGAGGGUGAACGGCCACACUGGAACUGAGACACGGUCCAGACUCCUACGGGAGGCAGCAGUGGGGAAUAUUGCACAAUGGAGGGAACUCUGAUGCAGCGACGCCGCGUGAGUGAAGAAGGUCUUCGGAUCGUAAAACUCUGUCCUUGGUGAAGAAAAGGACGGUAGCCAAGGAGGAAGCCCCGGCUAACUACGUG